GUCUUUUUGAGUUAUUUUUAAAGUCUGACCUGCCCACUGAAUAUUUUUAAAUGGCCGCAGUAUUCUAACUGUGCAAAGGUAGCAUAAUCAUUAGUCUUUUAAUUGAAGGCUGGUAUGAACGGUUGGACGAAGUAUAAGCUGUUUCAUAUAAAAUUAUAUUAGAAUUUUAUAUUUUAGUUAAAAAGCUAAAAUAUUAUUAAAAGACGAGAAGACCCUAUAAAUCUUUAUAUUUAAUAUUAUUCAAAUUUUUUUGAUUAAUUUUAUUUUUAUAAUAUUAAAUAUUUUGUUGGGGUGAUAUUAAAAUUUAAUAAACUUUUAAUUUUGAAUUAGAACAUUAAUUUAUGAAUAGUUGAUCCAUUAUUAAUGAUUAUAAGAUUAAGUUACUUUAGGGAUAACAGCGUAAUUUUUUUUGAGAGUUCAUAUCGACAAAAAAGUUUGCGACCUCGAUGUUGGAUUAAGAUAUAUAUUUAGGUGUAGCCGUUUAAAUAUUAAGUCUGUUCGACUUUUAAAUUCUUACAUGAUCUGAGUUCAA
RNAcentral lists this ribosomal RNA (532 nucleotides) under Ceratitis rosa (Natal fruit fly). RNAcentral's name for it is "partial 16S ribosomal RNA". The stretch from base 391 to 532 matches the Rfam family "Bacterial large subunit ribosomal RNA", at positions 2473 to 2614 of the family's 2925-position model. Lineage: Eukaryota; Metazoa; Arthropoda; Insecta; Diptera; Tephritidae. RNAcentral also lists the same sequence under 1 other name. The record is from RNAcentral.